This 77-nucleotide transfer RNA is filed under the name Nitrospirota bacterium. RNAcentral describes it as "Nitrospirae bacterium (groundwater metagenome) tRNA-Met". It matches the Rfam family "tRNA". Rfam says of the family: Transfer RNA (tRNA) molecules are approximately 80 nucleotides in length. Their secondary structure includes four short double-helical elements and three loops (D, anti-codon, and T loops). Further hydrogen bonds mediate the characteristic L-shaped molecular structure. tRNAs have two regions of fundamental functional importance: the anti-codon, which is responsible for specific mRNA codon recognition, and the 3' end, to which the tRNAs corresponding amino acid is attached (by aminoacyl-tRNA synthetases). tRNAs cope with the degeneracy of the genetic code in two manners: having more than one tRNA (with a specific anti-codon) for a particular amino acid; and 'wobble' base-pairing, i.e. permitting non-standard base-pairing at the 3rd anti-codon position. RNAcentral also lists the same sequence under 3 other names. Lineage: Bacteria; Pseudomonadati; Nitrospirota. The record is from RNAcentral.
UGCGGGGUGGAGCAGUCUGGUAGCUCGUCGGGCUCAUAACCCGAAGGUCGUCGGUUCAAAUCCGGCCCCCGCAACCA